UCAAUAUAACAUUCAAAAUAAUAAGAAGAAGAAAAAGAAAAUUAAAUAGGAAAGGCUGAAUUAAAUUUUCACACUUUUAGUUGCCUCUUACAGUAUACAGGUCAAACAAUGGAUGAAUUCUGAUUAUCAAUAAUAUGAAAAUUAUAGUAAUAAUAAUGAUAACAUAACUGCUUAAAGGUGAUGUCUAACCUAUUAAAAAUUGCAUAUGGAUUCUUGUUGUUAUGUUCAUUCUUGUGUAUGUAAUGAAUAAAAAUGGCUAGAGAAUUAUAGUGAUCCAUCAUCAGGAAUUCUGUACCUGAACCGUGAUGCAGGGCACUAAGAAGAUAAGCUCUUUAUAAGAAUAACUUCAUAGCACAAUUCAAUUUUAAAAUUUUGCAUGUUGUGAUGUUUGAACCGAAGGUGCCCAUCCCAGGCAAAGUUGUCCAUCAACAUUAUUGUUUGACUCAGGAGUCAACAAUAACAAUGGUCAAGUUGCCGUGGUCCAUAGAUGGUGUCCUUUGCCAUCUGGUCUGGGGUUAGGAGUUCCAUGAGAUGUCAGAAAAAAAUUUCAGAUGAAUAGUACUCCAGUUCACAUAUUAGAACUUGAUUAGACUAAUGAGAAAAUUCAAAAUUACAUAUAAUAAUAAUAGUAAUGAUGAUACCAAUAAAGAGCAGUUAUGAUGACAAAGCAGCACAAGAUGAAGACAAUUCAAUAAAAGAUAAUGACUAACAAGCACUGAACAAAGACUGGAGAAUUCUGAUGAGGAAAGUGGUGAAUUCUGUUGAUCUCAAUGAACAGAUAGUUAAUAUACAUAUGAAAGUAUGUCCGGGCAUGAGCCGAGAACUCAGACAAAUUUACAUAAUCUUAUGGUUAAUAGAAAUGAAUUUAUAUAUGGGUACAAUGAAUACAGGUCGUGCUACACUUCUAUCUCCAGUCUGUCAUCUUUCCAUUUCCAUUGGUGAUAGAUUCAACAAUAAAGAGGUGACAUGCAACUCCAGGUAAGUUAGUAAAAAUGAAGACUAAUGAAAAAUGAUAUAAGUCAGUAAAUAAACAUUUUAAAUAGUUAGUUGUUUGGUUUUUUUAUUAACUUCAUGUAGUUGGCUACAGCCAAAAUUUCUCAA
This 1101-nucleotide long non-coding RNA is filed under the name Androctonus crassicauda. The record is from RNAcentral. Lineage: Eukaryota; Metazoa; Arthropoda; Arachnida; Scorpiones; Buthidae.